RNAcentral lists this non-coding RNA (147 nucleotides) under Homo sapiens (human). RNAcentral also lists the same sequence under 1 other name. Lineage: Eukaryota; Metazoa; Chordata; Mammalia; Primates; Hominidae. The record is from Rfam by way of RNAcentral.
GCUGGGCAUGGCGGUGCAUGCCUGUAAUCCGAGCUACUUGGAGGCUGAGGCAGGAGAAUCGCUUGAACCUGGGAGGCAGAGGUUGCAGUGAGCCCAGAUCUCGCCACUGCACUCCAGCCUGGGUGACAGAAAGAGACUCUGUCUCAA